GAUGAACGCUGGCGGCGUGCCUAAUACAUGCAAGUCGAGCGAACGGACGAGAAGCUUGCUUCUCUGAUGUUAGCGGCGGACGGGUGAGUAACACGUGGAUAACCUACCUAUAAGACUGGGAUAACUUCGGGAAACCGGAGCUAAUACCGGAUGAUAUUUUGAACCGCAUGGUUCAAAAGUGAAAGACGGUCUUGCUGUCACUUAUAGAUGGAUCCGCGCUGCAUUAGCUAGUUGGUAAGGUAACGGCUUACCAAGGCAACGAUGCAUAGCCGACCUGAGAGGGUGAUCGGCCACACUGGAGCUGAGACACGGUCCAGACUCCUACGGGAGGCAGCAGUAGGGAAUCUUCCGCAAUGGGCGAAAGCCUGACGGAGCAACGCCGCGUGGGUGAUGAAGGUCUUCGGAUCGUAAAACUCUGUUAUUAGGGAAGAACAUAUGUGUAAGUAACUGUGCACAUCUUGACGGUACCUAAUCAGAAAGCCACGGCUAACUACGUG
RNAcentral lists this ribosomal RNA (497 nucleotides) under uncultured bacterium. Its description in RNAcentral is "partial 16S ribosomal RNA". It matches the Rfam family "Bacterial small subunit ribosomal RNA", at positions 28 to 507 of the family's 1533-position model. The record is from RNAcentral.